GCCCAUUCAACUACAAAGUGCGAAAAACAAUGAAUUGUGGGGACCCUGAAAAUUUCACAGAAACUUCCCAUGGGUAGAUGAGUAACUUUCACAUUUUCCCCUUUUUUAAUAUAAAUCUAUAAAUACAUUUUGACUCCAUUAAAUUGGAGUGAGAAUAUUAACUUGGAAAAUAUACAAACAAUUGAACUUUUGUAAUUGCUGAAGCUCUAAAUUAGCAAGUAGCAUACAAAACCUGCUUCUAAAAUCACCAGUCCAGAAUAUAUUCGCAGGAUGAACAAGCUUUUGAAACUUGAGAAGACAUUGACAUGACAAGGAUGAGGCAGAGAACUCACCACUGCAACAAACUCUUGCUGCCAGUCAUCUACUUGAGCCUGUAAGAGUCAAUUUCCUUCAAUUAAGCUGUGUUAUUAGCAUUGCGCACAGAAAAAAAUGCGAGGUUCUUCCAAUUCUCCAUGUUAUCUAAGGAUAUGGUUACUUUUAGCACCAUGUUUAAUCAAGUUGGGUAUAGAUGAAGAGCUGCCAUGAUUUAUGCUGUGACCUGAGCAUGGAGGAGAUGGAGUGGGAAAAACCUCAAGAAUAGAACGAGGAGAAUAACAAGGAGGCUGCCAUUACUGUUAAGUUGGAAGUUUCACGAUGAGAUCCUUGGGCAGUCUCGCUGAAGAAAGAGAAUAAUGCAUGAAGCUGUCAGAAGCCACCUUUCCCUUUUCAGA
Molecule: unclassified non-coding RNA, 710 nt
Filed under: Hevea brasiliensis (rubber tree)
Lineage: Eukaryota; Viridiplantae; Streptophyta; Magnoliopsida; Malpighiales; Euphorbiaceae
Source: RNAcentral